Mycena crocata is the source of this 79-nucleotide non-coding RNA. NCBI's taxonomy places the organism in Eukaryota, Fungi, Basidiomycota, Agaricomycetes, Agaricales, Mycenaceae. The record is from the annotation of a GenBank genome assembly.
GGGCGCUUGGCGCAGCUGGUAGCGCGUUCGCUUCGCAGUAAUGUGCGAAAGGUCGUUGGUUCAAAUCCUACAGCGUCCA